GCCUUGUUCUUCGCUUUUAGGUUUUGCAGUUGGACGACGCCUCCCUGCUCACUUCAGCCUCUGGCCUUCUAUCUCUUUGAGACCUAAUACCAUGCCUUCAAUUAAGCUGCAGAGUUCUGAUGGAGAGAUAUUUGAAGUUGAUGUUGAAAUUGCAAAACAGUCUGUGACCAUCAAGACUAUGUUGGAAGAUUUAGGAAUGGAUGAUGAAGGAGAUGAUGAUCCAGUCCCCUUGCCAAAUGUUAAUGCAGCAAUAUUGAAAAAGGCAGCAAACUACUUAGACAUCAAAGGUUUGCUUGAUGUUACCUGCAAGACUGUUGCUAAUAUGAUCAAGGGGAAAACUCCUGAGGAGAUUCGAAAGACAUUCAAUAUCAAAAAUGAUUUUACUGAGGAAGAGGAAGCCCAGGUACGCAAAGAGAACCAGUGGUGUGAGGAGAAGUGAAAUUUCGUGUCUAACGCUGUAACACUGUAAGGAUUAUUCCAAAUACUAGUUGCACUGCUUUGUUUAUAAUUGUUAAUAUUAGAAAAACAGUCAACAAAUGCAGCAGCAAGUCAAUUGUAUUAGCAGAAUGUUGUCCUCAUUGCAUGUGUAGUUUCAGUACAGUUCCCAAACUUACGGCCCAGUUUCUUCUAGUAUGAUUGAAAGUUUCUUUUCUUUGCUCUGAAUAAAAUUGAACUGUGGGUUCCCUAUAGAAAGUGGCAUUUUGGGCUUUCCCUUUUUGUAAAGCAAUUUCUGCCUAGUUUAUUGUCCACUUAAUUUUAGUUCAGUGACUUUUAAAGUUGGCAUUGUAAAUAAAGCAACUUGCAAAAAAAAAAAAAAAAAAAAAA
This is a non-coding RNA of Odocoileus virginianus texanus, 825 nucleotides long. NCBI's taxonomy places the organism in Eukaryota, Metazoa, Chordata, Mammalia, Artiodactyla, Cervidae. The record is from RefSeq and is a predicted model, not a curated record.